AUUGAAUGCUGGCGGCAGGCCUAACACAUGCAAGUCGAGCGGAUGAAGGGAGCUUGCUCCUGGAUUCGGCGGCGGACGGGUGAGUAAUGCCUAGGAAUCUGCCUGGUAGUGGGGGAUAACGUCCGGAAACGGGCGCUAAUACCGCAUACGUCCUGAGGGAGAAAGUGGGGGAUCUUCGGACCUCACGCUAUCAGAUGAGCCUAGGUCGGAUUAGCUAGUUGGUGGGGUAAAGGCCUACCAAGGCGACGAUCCGUAACUGGUCUGAGAGGAUGAUCAGUCACACUGGAACUGAGACACGGUCCAGACUCCUACGGGAGGCAGCAGUGGGGAAUAUUGGACAAUGGGCGAAAGCCUGAUCCAGCCAUGCCGCGUGUGUGAAGAAGGUCUUCGGAUUGUAAAGCACUUUAAGUUGGGAGGAAGGGCAGUAAGUUAAUACCUUGCUGUUUUGACGUUACCAACAGAAUAAGCACCGGCUAACUUCGUG
This 484-nucleotide ribosomal RNA is filed under the name uncultured bacterium. RNAcentral describes it as "partial 16S ribosomal RNA". It matches the Rfam family "Bacterial small subunit ribosomal RNA", at positions 30 to 507 of the family's 1533-position model. The record is from RNAcentral.